Macaca mulatta (Rhesus monkey) is the source of this 5133-nucleotide long non-coding RNA. RefSeq lists it as uncharacterized. The record is from RefSeq and is a predicted model, not a curated record. Lineage: Eukaryota; Metazoa; Chordata; Mammalia; Primates; Cercopithecidae.
CGCGUACUCGGAGGGUCCCUUUCAGAAAAAGGGCGGCUUCUCUGAGUCCCCGAAAUGUGGGAGGGCUUGAGAGCCACAGCACCAGGCUCUGAGAAGGGACUGGAAGUACGGCCUGACGUUCCCGGAGAAAGGGAUUAAGUGUGAGAGAAAGAUGGGAGCGAAGGGGAGCUGCGCUUGCGGUGGAAGGAGCGAGGUAUCCUGGAGAGGAAAGCGAGUCCCGCGUUCAGUCAGAGCAGGAAUCGCAUCCUGAGCCAGCAGAACCUCCGUUUUCUCGCAGACAUCACAAGAUUGUUGUUAGGAUUUGAAACGAUCAUUUAUCCAACGAAUACUAGAGGUCGACUAUGUGCCAGGCUCUGCUUAGCACUAGGGAUUCAGUAAUGGAACAAACAAGUCAACAAACGAUAGACAAGAUCAGUUGAACUGGUAUCAUUACCAUUUGCUCUGAAGCAAAUGAAAUAGAAUGAUGGGGGCACUCAUUUAGUUUGGGUGAUCAGACAAGACCUCUAUGACAAUUGACAAGAACAGAGGGUAUUUUAGGCAAAGGGGACAGCUAAUAUAAAAGCCCUGAGGAGGGAACAGUCUGGUGAGCUCAGGAACAGAAAGGUCAGUGUGGCUGCAGCAGAGUGGGCCACAGGAAGAAUGAUAGGAGAUGAAGUCAGAGGAUGCAACACACGUUAGGGCCUAAUAACCCAUAGCAAAGGGUUUAAGUCUACUCUGUGAUAGGGACAUAUGAAGGGUUUUAAAGAGGGAAGUGACAAGAUGCUAUUUGUGUUUCUUAAAAAGAUCACUCUGGCUGCUGCGUGGAGAAUAAACUCUGGAAGGCAAGAGUAGAUAGGGGGAGAGGCCUUGGAUUAGGAUGGUAGGAGUGGAUGGUAGGUGAUGAAGCUGCAGGGACAGUCUCAAAAAGCUCAAUAUGAAAGUGACUUCCUCCCUCUUCCUCCCUUCCCCAAAGGACAAAAUUUACCAUAGAGAAAGAACAAAUGCAUUUAUGUGGCUCCAAGGGACAGGGCUCGGCUCAACAAGUUCACAUACAUUAUUUUAUUUGAACCCCACCAUUCCAUUUCCAGGAGGUAAAGGCCUCACCUCAGUUGCAGCUUUUGGUGGAGGUUUGGGUCACUUCUCAAAUUCUCUCCAUUCUACAGCUCAGCUUUACCCACUUAUUGCAGAUCCCUACAGAAACACUAGAGUUGUUUUUCUCCUUACCACAAACAAAAACAGCAUUGGCAAUAAGGGCUGAAGAUAAGAUUCUACUGGUAGCAUCUCUGAAAUAGCUGAUAGGGAAGUGGGGGAAGCUGGCUGGUUUAUUUGGGGACUUCAGGGUCAUAAGAAAAUCCAAUGUUGGACAGGCAGACCCAGGCUUUUUGGUCUCUGGGAACUCGGCAAUGACACAUUCAGAUGUGUGAUGACUUCCUUUUCUGGCUCCGUACAGCAAGCAUGCGCCUCAUCUACCAUCUGUCUCCUCUCUCCAUGUCUGUGUCUCCGUCUCCCUACCACCCUCCCUCUCCCCUGCCAACACACUUUGAUUACCUGGGCACAAGCUGACCUGGAAGAGUGCCUGGCUCUUUAGAAAAACCCUCUCCUCAUAACCUUUCACCCUAUUAUGUUCCUGAAUCAUUCUACAUUCUACUCCCAACCAACUUUUUGAAGAAGAUGAUGUAAAAGUUCAGACACAGGCCCCUUCUUCCAGUUUUGUUUUCUAAGGGAGACCUGAUUCAUCCAGACUCAUUGCUGAAUAAGAGACUUCCUUCUUCCUCUUGCCCUCGCUACCUCAAUUUGGUGGUGUAACUGGAUGGGUACUAUAAGGGGUGACUACUCCAAGGGUCAUGCUGGAGAGGGGCUCAGAAUUUGCAUUGUGUGGCCUCCCCCCCAAGAUGGGAAUACAUCUUUGCUCCUGCAGCCCAAAGUCAGGAGGCUUGGGCUGCUGUUUUCUUCUGUGUUUAUCAAAGUUCCUUAGUAUAGGCUUCUGGGCUCUCUUGGUUUCUUAAUAGCUAUUGGCUGACUGGAGACUAUUUAGUUGCCUGUUUACCUGGGCUUAGAGGGUGACGUUUCUGUGGUCAGGUUGUGCAAAUCUGGAGAGAGGAUAUGUAAACAGGACAAGGCUGUUUUCCCAAAGGCCAGGACCCAGAAAUAGUUCCUUGUGUUUCUGACCUAUUUCCCCCUCCCUGGACAGAAAGCCACUGAGCAAAUGUGCAAUAGUAAAACAUAACUACAAGUAGCUAUAUCCUGAUGGAGAUUGAUUUGCUGAUGACAACAAACUGUAGCCUUCCACCUGGAAACAAGGCAGGACUGACCUUUCCCCGCACUUUGCUUCCUAGGCAUUAUAGUGGCCUAUGAGCAGAAUUUGCCAUGCCUUCCAUGGACCGUUCUUUUUCCAAGUCAGGUGAACCCAGCCUGCAGCUCUGAGUCAAUGGAGUUUCUCAGAUAAAGUGCACCCAAAAAUGUUAUUUUUCAAGCACCAGUAAAGACACUUGUUUUAAUCCUAUACCCCUUUCACAUACUAUAGAGAAAGAGGGUGACUCUUAGUGUUGAAUAGAUCUAGGUGGGAUUUCCACAUCUAUGGACAAGCUGUGGCUCUGGGCCAGUUUCUACAUCUGUACAAUGGAGUUAAAUCCUUUCCUUGCAGGGCUGGUGUGACAGGAACAUGCCAGCUUCUUCACCAAGCCUGGUCCUAUGAAGGGGUGCCUCAGUACACACUGGUUUCUCUUUCCUCUUACUCCCCUCCUGCCCCCGUGAUAGUCAUCCUUCUAUUUUGCCAUUAACCUGCUCAAGAAAGGACUUUGUCCCCAUCUGCGUUUUCUCUGCAAGAAUGUGUCUGCCUCUAAGAAUGGAGAGUAAACCCACAGUAUACAAGGGACUGUGGAGGCUGAUUCACAAGAGUUCAGAAAUUCCGACAGAGCUGCACAAGGAUGAUGUCAGAAAUAAAAGUGGUAACUCAGAAACCAGUGACAAGUCUAUCAGCCUGGUUUCACAGAACUGGCAGCCCACUGGCCUCUGCCUCCUCUGUCUCCUACUCUCCUUGUCUUUCCCUGAAAAGCAAAUCUAAUGAUUGGCAAAAACAAAACCAAGGAUGGAGGAGAGGGGCUGGCUAGUCUGUUAUUUUGUGAAGCCAUUCAUCUCUGCCAGAUUUAGGUUUACCAGGAAAGUAGGUUGAAAUAGACGUGUGUCUGCUUUGUUCUAACCCUAUUCUUCUCUGGAUAGUGGUACCAAUCGGUAUUCUGGGCUUAGAAUGACAGAAAUGUCUGUGCCAGGCAUCACAGUAAACAUUUCACACAGAUGAGCAUGUUAUAUUUACACAAGCCUCUGAAGUACAUACCAUUAUUAUCAUUCCCAUUCUUCAGAUGAAGAAACUAAGGCAGAGAGCUGUGGAGUAGCUUGUCUGUGGCCUCAUAACUACAGGGUGGGAGAACACCAGGAUUUGAACUCAGGCUGUCUGGCCACCCUGAUCCCACCUGCUACCAACCUUCUGUGCCCUCUCAGUUCUCCCCACCCAUCAUGUUCUUUGCAGUCAGGACCCCAGCUUUAGGUGCCCAAAGCUUUCUGUGGUCCUGGUCACUUCACUUGGGCUAAGGAGCCAAUUAACUAACUUACUGAGCCAUCCCGUGCCAAUGGGGAAGGGCUGGAGGAAACCCCACCCCCAUCCCACACAUACUCUGGACAGCCCUCACUCCUACCCCAGGAGCAAAUGCCAUCUCAUCCUGGACAUCUUCCUUGAUUUUGUCCUGAAGUCUAUACCACUUUAUACCUCUCUUGGGACCUUUACCUCCUUCCAGUAAUUACUUGUGUCUGUACAAGACUUCAUAGUCUCCAAAGGCCUUUCCCAUCCACCUAGUCCAGCUUCUUCCCAGGCCUUUUAACCUCCUUCUCUAACUGGGAUGGCAUUGAGCAUGGUGGUUCAGCACCCGAGCUCUGGAAUCCAGUCUGCAGCAUCCUCGCUCCACCACUUGCUAGCUGUGUGCCGCUGGGCAAGGUACUUGCCCAACUUCUCAACAUCUCAGUUUCCAUAUCUGUGAAACUGGGAUAAUAAUAAUGUCACCCUCAUCUGGUCGGAGGGUUGAAUGAGAUGAACACACAAGCACACACAGCACCCAAACUCAGUAAGUGCUGGCUCUUGUUAUCAUCUCACUAAAUCUUCUCCCAAAACUCCUGUGGGAAUAAACCUCCCCAUCACCCUCCCACACACACUCUGGUUCUUGUCAUCAGUAAAAAUGAGUCUGAACCAGAUGACCUUUAAGCUUUCUUCCAGCUCCGUCAAGCUAUGAUUGUACCAUGAAUCACAGUUAUUAUGGACACAUUUUAACUAUGCCAUAGCAAUCUCCUGAAGGCCCAGCCCUUAACAUAGGGCGUUGUAUACAGUUGGCUGUCCUGCCAGGGUGAUGUUAGCACCUAACAAUAGUUCUUGCCUCAUCCAUGCAUUGGGAUGAACAAAUGAGAAAAUUCCUGUAUAGCAUUUAGUCCAGUGCCUGGCACUGAGUAAGCCCCUAAUAAGUCAUAGUUUCUAUUAUUAUCCCAUCUGAUACCGAUAAGAUUCCCAAACAUGGUCAUUAAAAGCAAAGGAGCCACACUGGGUGUGGACUUAUCCUAGUGCUGAUCCUGUGAGACCUUGAGCAAGUUAAUUCACCACCCCGUGCCUCAAUUUCUUCCUCUGUAAUAUGGAUGUGAUUAUGAGUAACUUCCUAAUAAGGUUGUUGUGAGUUAAUAGAAGGGCACUUAGAAUUGUGCCUGGCGUCUGCUUUGUAUAUGUAAGUGCUUUUUGUCAUCAUUUACAGGUGUCAGUGGCACCAAGGGACGUCCCCAAGCAGUAGUGGAGUUGGGAUCCAAACCUAAGCUUGACUGAUUCCAGAGCCUCGGUGCUAAUAUUAGGAGAUGUUGCUGCCCUGUGCGAUCCCUGUGCAUUUCAGCAGGAGCCUCCGUGUCCACUCCUGUCAGUUGCCUUCCCUGGCAAAGGAGUUUUUAUAAUGUGCAAUGCAGGUGGAUGUGACCAUCUUGGAAGCCGUGUUAAAGAAGGCAGAGCCACAAGAUAGAUGCAGCCAGGUUCUCUAAAUCACCACUGGGGAGAAACCUACACACCAAUGAGGAAUACCCAUUUUUUGGAUUUCAAGAGCAAGAAAUAAACUUCACUUGUGUUCAGCAUUA